This 300-nucleotide long non-coding RNA is filed under the name Salmo salar (Atlantic salmon). RNAcentral describes it as "lncRNA (ENSSSAG00000111444.1)". The record is from RNAcentral. Lineage: Eukaryota; Metazoa; Chordata; Actinopteri; Salmoniformes; Salmonidae.
GGUAGUGUGGUAGAGUUCAGUGGUAGAGAUCAGUGGUAGUGUGGUAUAGUUUAGUGGUAGUGUGGUAGAGAUCAGUGGUAGUGUGGUAGAGUUCAGUGGUACUGAGUUAGAGUUCAGUGGUAGUGGGGUAGAGAUCAGUGGUAGUGUGGUAGAGUUCAGUGGUAGUGCGGUUGUUUUUAUUGGUACUGGGGUAGAGAUCAGUAGUAGUGGGGUAGAGUUCAGUGGUAGUGUGGUCGAGUUUGGUGGUAGUGGGGUAGAGGUCAGUGGUAGUGUGGUAGAGUUUAGUGAUCGUGUGGUGGU